RNAcentral lists this long non-coding RNA (441 nucleotides) under Coffea arabica (coffee). Its description in RNAcentral is "long non-coding RNA (CARA_LNC004494)". The record is from RNAcentral. Lineage: Eukaryota; Viridiplantae; Streptophyta; Magnoliopsida; Gentianales; Rubiaceae.
UGGCCCUUCGUAUACCGGAGCAGGAGGUGGUGGGCUCUCGUAAAUCACUGGCGGAGGCGGUGGUGGAUGUUCACAUGGAAUUGGGGGAGGCGGCGAGGGUGAUGGUGGCGGCGGAGAGUGGUAAUGAACUGGCGGGGGAGGUGAUGGUGAUGGGGGAGGUGGUGAGUUGUAGUGAACUGGGGGUGGAGGCGAUUGCGAUGGCGGUGGCGGUGAAUUAUAGUAAGUUUGUGGAGGUGGCGAAGGUGAUGGUGGAGGUGGUGAAUUGUAUAUAAUCGGUGGUGGUGGGGGUGAUGGUGAUGGUGGUGGCUUAUAAAUAUAUGGUGGUGGUGGUGGUGAAGGUGAUGGCGGAGGUGGUGGUGGUUCUAUACAAGGCGGUGGUGAUGGUGGUGGAGGGGGUUCUAUACAAGGUGGUGGUGGUGGAGGGGGUUCUAUACAAGGUGG